GGGGACGAACUGGAUUCGACGGGUUUAGGUCGCUAAGGAUUGCGUGCCGAGCGUUUUCCGUGUGCUCGUAAACCAAACGGUAAACCAAUAAACAACAACAACGCAUACGCGUUGGCUGCCUAAGAGUUAAUUCUCUGCAGUCCGUUUUAACUUACUUCCGUCUAUCGAGGUUGGUUAAGACGUCAUUUUGAUAGACUAGCCGAGUGCCAAUGCUCGGAGGCACAAGGCGAAUAUCCCGCAAGGGAUUAUCGAGCUCGCUUACCUGCUUUUGGUUCGCUUUUGAUAGGUAAGUUAAAAUAAAAAGCGGCGCUACGCACGUAGAGGUCUUUAGUAGCUUAUUCUCGGACACGGGUUCAAUUCCCGUCGUCUCCACAU
RNAcentral lists this transfer-messenger RNA (375 nucleotides) under bacterium. Its description in RNAcentral is "JABWBZ01 sp013359335 Standard tmRNA". It matches the Rfam family "transfer-messenger RNA". Rfam says of the family: Bacterial tmRNA, also known as 10Sa RNA or SsrA, is named for its dual tRNA and mRNA-like properties. The record is from RNAcentral.